GACGAACGCUGGCGGCGUGCUUAACACAUGCAAGUCGAACGGAAAGGCCCUGCUUGCAGGGUACUCGAGUGGCGAACGGGUGAGUAACACGUGGGUGAUCUGCCCUGCACUUCGGGAUAAGCCUGGGAAACUGGGUCUAAUACCGGAUAGGAGCCAUUCUUAGUGUGAUGGUUGGAAAGUUUUUUCGGUGUAGGAUGAGCUCGCGGCCUAUCAGCUUGUUGGUGGGGUAAUGGCCUACCAAGGCGGCGACGGGUAGCCGGCCUGAGAGGGUGGACGGCCACAUUGGGACUGAGAUACGGCCCAGACUCCGACGGGAGGCAGCAGUGGGGAAUAUUGCACAAUGGGCGCAAGCCUGAUGCAGCGACGCCGCGUGGGGGAUGACGGCCUUCGGGUUGUAAACUCCUUUCGCUAGGGACGAAGCUUUUUGUGACGGUACCUAGAUAAGAAGCACCGGCUAACUACGUG
Molecule: ribosomal RNA, 465 nt
Filed under: uncultured bacterium
Lineage: Bacteria
Description: partial 16S ribosomal RNA
Rfam family: Bacterial small subunit ribosomal RNA
Source: RNAcentral